RNAcentral lists this ribosomal RNA (458 nucleotides) under uncultured Desulfobacula sp. RNAcentral describes it as "bacterial SSU rRNA". It matches the Rfam family "Bacterial small subunit ribosomal RNA", at positions 346 to 795 of the family's 1533-position model. Lineage: Bacteria; Pseudomonadati; Thermodesulfobacteriota; Desulfobacteria; Desulfobacterales; Desulfobacteraceae. The record is from RNAcentral.
GGGCUGCAGUGAGGAAUUUUGCGCAAUGGGGGCAACCCUGACGCAGCAACGCCGCGUGAGUGAAGAAGGCCUUUGGGUCGUAAAGCUCUGUCGACAGGGAAGAAGUUAUUGUUGUUUAAUAGAUGACAGUAUUGACGGUACCUGUAGAGGAAGCACCGGCUAACUCCGUGCCAGCAGCCGCGGUAAUACGGGGGGUGCAAGCGUUAUUCGGAAUUAUUGGGCGUAAAGGGCGCGUAGGCGGUCUUGUCGGUCAGAUGUGAAAGCCCAGGGCUCAACCCUGGACGUGCAUUUGAAACAGCAAGACUUGAGUACGGUAGAGGAAAGCGGAAUUCCUGGUGUAGAGGUGAAAUUCGUAGAUAUCAGGAGGAACACCGAUGGCGAAGGCAGCUUUCUGGACCGAUACUGACGCUGAGGCGCGAAGGCGUGGGUAGCGAACGGGAUUAGAUACCCCAGUAGUC